This 473-nucleotide ribosomal RNA is filed under the name uncultured bacterium. RNAcentral's name for it is "SSU rRNA". It matches the Rfam family "Bacterial small subunit ribosomal RNA", at positions 26 to 518 of the family's 1533-position model. The record is from RNAcentral.
AGGACGAACGCUGGCGGCGUGCUUAACACAUGCAAGUCGAGCGGAAAGGCCCUUCGGGGUACUCGAGCGGCGAACGGGUGAGUAACACGUGAGUAAUCUGCCCCUAGCUCUGGGAUAGCUCCGGGAAACCGGGAUUAAUACCAGAUACGACCACUUUAGACAUCUUCUGUGGUGGAAAGAACUUCGGCUAGGGAUGAACUCGCGGCCUAUCAGCUUGUUGGUUAGGUAACGGCUCACCAAGGCGACGACGGGUAGCCGGCCUGAGAGGGCGACCGGCCACACUGGGACUGAGACACGGCCCAGACUCCUACCGGGAGGCAGCAGUGGGGAAUAUUGCGCAAUGGGCGAAAGCCUGACGCAGCGACGCCGCGUGGGGGAUGAAGGCCUUCGGGUUGUAACCCCUUUCAGCAGGGACGAAGCGAAAGUGACGGUACCUGCAGAGAAGCGCCGGCUAACUACGUGCCAGCAGCCGC